UGGGGAAUAUUGGUCAAUGGGCGCAAGCCUGAUCCAGCCAUGCCGCGUGAGUGAUGAAGGCCCUAGGGUUGUAAAGCUCUUUCACCGGUGAAGAUAAUGACGGUAACCGGAGAAGAAGCCCCGGCUAACUUCGUGCCAGCAGCCGCGGUAAUACGAAGGGGGCUAGCGUUGUUCGGAUUUACUGGGCGUAAAGCGCACGUAGGCGGACUUUUAAGUCAGGGGUGAAAUCCCGGGGCUCAACCCCGGAACUGCCUUUGAUACUGGAAGUCUUGAGUAUGGUAGAGGUGAGUGGAAUUCCGAGUGUAGAGGUGAAAUUCGUAGAUAUUCGGAGGAACACCAGUGGCGAAGGCGGCUCACUGGACCAUUACUGACGCUGAGGUGCGAAAGCGUGGGGAGCAAACAGG
Molecule: ribosomal RNA, 404 nt
Filed under: Pseudomonas sp.
Lineage: Bacteria; Pseudomonadati; Pseudomonadota; Gammaproteobacteria; Pseudomonadales; Pseudomonadaceae
Also listed under: 2 other names
Description: partial 16S ribosomal RNA
Rfam family: Bacterial small subunit ribosomal RNA
Source: RNAcentral